RNAcentral lists this transfer RNA (81 nucleotides) under Strongylocentrotus purpuratus (purple sea urchin). Its description in RNAcentral is "tRNA-Gly (CCC) (tRNA-Gly-CCC-3-1)". It matches the Rfam family "tRNA". Rfam says of the family: Transfer RNA (tRNA) molecules are approximately 80 nucleotides in length. Their secondary structure includes four short double-helical elements and three loops (D, anti-codon, and T loops). Further hydrogen bonds mediate the characteristic L-shaped molecular structure. tRNAs have two regions of fundamental functional importance: the anti-codon, which is responsible for specific mRNA codon recognition, and the 3' end, to which the tRNAs corresponding amino acid is attached (by aminoacyl-tRNA synthetases). tRNAs cope with the degeneracy of the genetic code in two manners: having more than one tRNA (with a specific anti-codon) for a particular amino acid; and 'wobble' base-pairing, i.e. permitting non-standard base-pairing at the 3rd anti-codon position. The record is from RNAcentral. Lineage: Eukaryota; Metazoa; Echinodermata; Echinoidea; Camarodonta; Strongylocentrotidae.
GCACUGCUGGUGUAGUGGUAUCAUGCAAGAUUCCCAUUCUUGCGACCCCUUGCGACCCGGGUUCGAUUCCCGGGCAGUGCA